RNAcentral lists this transfer RNA (72 nucleotides) under Mycetomoellerius zeteki. RNAcentral describes it as "Trachymyrmex zeteki tRNA". It matches the Rfam family "tRNA". From Rfam's summary of the family: Transfer RNA (tRNA) molecules are approximately 80 nucleotides in length. Lineage: Eukaryota; Metazoa; Arthropoda; Insecta; Hymenoptera; Formicidae. The record is from Rfam by way of RNAcentral.
GCCUCGAUAGUCUAACUAUGGGGACACCCACCUGAAAACCGGGAGAUCCGGGUUUGAUUCCCGGUUAAGAUA